This 148-nucleotide transfer RNA is filed under the name Penicillium brasilianum. RNAcentral's name for it is "tRNA-Thr". The record is from RNAcentral. Lineage: Eukaryota; Fungi; Ascomycota; Eurotiomycetes; Eurotiales; Aspergillaceae.
GCCCGGGUGGUCUAGUGGUAUGAUUCGCGCUUAGUACGUUAUCCUUGAAUCAACCAAUCAACACCCAACAAAUCACUAACAGCUUCUUCAGGGGUUCACCCAAAGCAUUGACUGCGCGAGGUCCCCGGUUCGAUCCCGGGCUCGGGCC